This 634-nucleotide ribosomal RNA is filed under the name Microbotryum violaceoirregulare. RNAcentral describes it as "LSU rRNA". It matches the Rfam family "Eukaryotic large subunit ribosomal RNA", at positions 37 to 668 of the family's 3401-position model. The record is from RNAcentral. Lineage: Eukaryota; Fungi; Basidiomycota; Microbotryomycetes; Microbotryales; Microbotryaceae.
UGCAUAUCAAUAAGCGGAGGAAAAGAAACUAACAAGGAUUCCCCUAGUAACGGCGAGUGAAGCGGGAAAAGCUCAAAUUUGUAAUCUGGCGCCUUUGGCGUCCGAGUUGUAAUCUCGAGAAGUAUUUUCCGCGCUGGACCGCACAUAAGUCUGUUGGAAUACAGCGUCAUAGUGGUGAGAACCCCGUAUAGGGUGCGGAUGCCCAGUGCUUUGUGAUAUACUUUCGAAGAGUCGAGUUGUUUGGGAAUGCAGCUCAAAUUGGGUGGUAAAUUCCAUCUAAAGCUAAAUAUUGGCGAGAGACCGAUAGCGAACAAGUACCGUGAGGGAAAGAUGAAAAGCACUUUGGAAAGAGAGUUAACAGUACGUGAAAUUGUUGGAAGGGAAACGCUUGAAGUCAGACUUGCAUUUUGGAGUUCAACCGCAAGGUGUAUUCUUCAAUUCGCAGGCCAGCAUCAGUUUUUGGGGGUGGAAAAGCGUGGUUUGAAGGUAGCAGUCUCGGCUGUGUUAUAGCUUUCCACUGGAUUCACUUUUGGGGACUGAGGAACGCAGUACGCUUUUUGCAAGAUUUUCGGAUCUUUCGUACUUAGGAUGCUGGUGGAAUGGCUUUAAACGACCCGUCUUGAAACACGGACCA